Molecule: ribosomal RNA, 1106 nt
Filed under: fungal sp. ARIZ AZ1026
Lineage: Eukaryota; Fungi
Description: eukaryotic LSU rRNA
Rfam family: Eukaryotic large subunit ribosomal RNA (bases 512-1106)
Source: RNAcentral
GAUCAUUAAAGAGUAAGGGUCAUUCGUGGCCCGACCUCCAACCCUUUGUUGUUAUAACUACCUCGUUGCUUUGGCGGGACCGCUCGGUCUCGAGCUGCCGGUCUUAGGCCCGGCAAGCGCCCGCCAGAGUCCAAUCAAACUCUUGUAUAUAACCGGUCGUCUGAGUUAAACUUUUAAUUAAAUUAAAACUUUCAACAACGGAUCUCUUGGUUCUCGCAUCGAUGAAGAACGCAGCGAAAUGCGAUAAGUAAUGUGAAUUGCAGAAUUCAGUGAAUCAUCGAAUCUUUGAACGCACAUUGCGCUCCCUGGUAUUCCGGGGAGCAUGCCUGUUCGAGCGUCAUUACACCACUCAAGCACUGCUUGGUAUUAGGCCUUCGUCCACCUCAGUGUGGGCGUGCCUCAAACACCUCGGCGGAGCCUCACCGGCUUUGGGCGUAGUAGAAUUUCUCAACGUCUUGCAAGUACCGGUUUGACUCCUUUGCCGUUAAACACCAAACUUUUUUUUACAGGUUGACCUCGGAUCAGGUAGGGAUACCCGCUGAACUUAAGCAUAUCAAUAAGCGGAGGAAAAGAAACCAACAGGGAUUGCCCUAGUAACGGCGAGUGAAGCGGCAACAGCUCAAAUUUGAAAUCUGGCACUUGUGUCCGAGUUGUAAUUUGUAGAGGAUGCUUUUAGGCAGCCACCGGUCUAAGUUCCUUGGAACAGGACGUCAUAGAGGGUGAGAAUCCCGUAUGUGACCGGACAGGCACCUUCUGUAAAGCUCCUUCGACGAGUCGAGUUGUUUGGGAAUGCAGCUCUAAAUGGGAGGUAAAUUUCUUCUAAAGCUAAAUACCGGCGAGAGACCGAUAGCGCACAAGUAGAGUGAUCGAAAGAUGAAAAGCACUUUGGAAAGAGAGUUAAAAAGCACGUGAAAUUGUUGAAAGGGAAGCGCUUGCAAUCAGACUUGUCCUCGGGUGUUCCGCCGGUCUUCUGACCGGUUCACUCAUUCGGGGACAGGCCAGCAUCACUUUCGGCGGCCGGAUAAAGGCACUGGGAAUGUAGCUCAACCUUCGGGGGGAGUGUUAUAGCCCGGUGUGUAAUACGGCCAGCCGGGAGUGAGGUCCGC